UGCUACUUUAUAUAAGCAGGUGUUCUUAUGAAGUAGAGGUUGUUCAGGUUUAUCGAAAGCGCAAAACGAUCACCAUGUCGUUCUUUGGGAAGCAGUUCAAGAAAGUUAAAGCUGAAAAUACUUUGGAGGUCAUUGGAAAACUAAAUCUCUCCGCGCAGACCGUGGCUCUCCUGCGUAGCCAAGACACCGUUACCUCCUUCACUAAAAACGCCGACGGAACCCUCCAGUACGUGGUCAAAGACAGCACCGGUAAGGUGGUCCUGGACCAGAAGAUCGUCCUUUCAACCCUCUCCGACUAUAAUAGCCCUGAUGGCAUGGAAAUCAAAGUCAAGUUUGAGUUGGCAGGCGAUGUUUUGAAGUCGGAGAUGCACUUGCCUGAUGGGAAGGUCGUAAAUAUAGAUAGAUAUUUUGAAGCUAACAGCUUGAAAAUGGAAUUGUACCUCCAAGGUGCCGCCGAAAAAGCCACAGUGUAUUACGAGGUCGUCUGAAUAAUUUUCACAUCAUUAUUUUACUUUAAUUUAUUAAAUGAUAUUGUUUUACAUAACAUAAAAAAAAAUGUUUUAUUACUCUAUAACCUCAUACCAAUCUUGUGAGGUCGAUGCCGAAUUUAUUCUCCGAGUUGCAAAAAAAUGACCUACAUUUUUAUCGCCUACAAUCUACAUCGAUAUAGAUCUAACGUUCAUUGACAAACACCGCAAAGUAGUGUUUUGUUAAAAAAUAACCCAUAUUUGCUUUCCUUGACAACAAUCUAAGGAUUAGAAAAUAAUUACUCACAGUUCCAAAAUAAAUUCCAAGUACCGACACCGACCAAUAGGAAAAAUGAAAAGAACAGUCAUCGAUAGUUAUAAUCUUAUCAUGUGCGAUAUCUUCUUCUGAUAAUUCAUACACACCUUAAGUAAUAUUACAGUUCUCAUUGACCUUGUUUUAUAUCGAGAAUGUACUUAUUGCUAAAGCUAGUGCUUGGCAUACGUAGAGAGACGCACGUAUAUAUGUAUUCUACUCACAUUCCCCUGACUAUACCUAUUCGCAAAUUCCCAGGAGAUUCGGCUUAGCUGUUUUUUAUUGUAGAUGGAACUUUGUACGAAUUACACAGUCACCAAAAAUUAGAUGCUCAUAAAGCAGAUUGCUCAUAAAGCAGAUUGCUCAUCAGAAUGACAAACCUGUCCUGAUUUAGACACUGUCUGACGGAGAUUUGUAAGGAGGCACCUGAUUCCUGUCAUGGCAAUUUGGCGGAAUUGCUGCGAAACUGCUCUGGGGCGCUAGCCAAGAUGACAAACGUAAUCGUACAUCAUCCGUGCAGUUAAUUAAUGGCGCUUACGCGUUUUGGUUGCGAGAAUCACACUCUGCUUCCAGAGUUUGUAGCCGAAAACAACUCAUGGCACAAAAUACUGGUUAUCUGUGCUGGUUCCAUAUGUAGUAAUAAUAGUUCAAUGCAUAAUACAUACAUCGGGGUUUUUGGUGCGGCUAUGAUUUCGUGUAAGUAUUUAUAACUUAGUUUAUUGUAAAAUAAUUAGCAAACUAUGAAUUAAAAAUAAAUGAGCUCCUAAUAUGCUCCUGAUGGUAAGCAAUCUGUAUGUACGCCUGCAACUCCAGAGGAGUGACAUGCGCGUUGCCGGCCCUAACACCCCCCCGUUGAGCUCUGGCAACCCUAUACUCACCGGCAGGAACAUGACUUAUUUGGCUGCGGUUUUCUGUAAGGUACUUCCCCAGUUGGGCUCUGCUCUAUCUAGAUCUGGAAUGACAUUCGCGGUGCUGUGCCCUACCACACAAAGCGAGAUGACAUUCACAAUGCCCAUAUUUCUCUUUUUUUACCUAAAGUAAAACAUUCCUGGACCAAAAACCGUUACAUAUACGGAUAUAUCGUGACUUUCACCACGACGUGUGCCUUGAAUCUUAUGGUCAUGUCAUUAAAGGUUAGAUUUGAUUUGACUCGUAGACUUUGAUUUGGUGGUGGUGGUUAGUGGUUGUUUUGGUGGUGGUUGACUGGUAGAGAAUGCCUCAAGGCAUUAAAUCCGCCUAUGUACGUUUUACUUGUGUUUGUGCAAUACAUUUUAAAAUAAAUAAAUAAAUCUGCGCGUCCUCCGGAUUGCAAGUAGCACGCUCUUACCGCUAGGCCACCAGCGCCUAUUCAUAAGUAUAACAUCACUAAAAUGAAAAGUAACAAUUACUGAUAUUGUCUUCGAUUACCGCCAUAGUUAGUCAUGAAAUAAUAAACUAUUCUUACGGAUUAGUAACAAUAUAUUAUAUUGCGUAUAAUGAGUUUAUAACACAUAUAUAUCGUGUGUAUGUGUAUCAUGUCGUUGUAUAUCGUGUAUUGUAUAUUUUUUUAUAUAUCGUUGGGAUAUCUAAUUAAAUAAUUUGCAAGAAAGCGAAGCAUUAUUAGAUUUAAUUGGUAUUAUUGAGAGUUGAGACACUUCUUUAGACAUUCAUUGCAAAUUGCCACUUAUCUACAGAUAAAUACUUCUGUACUUAUCGUUAAAUGAAUCUAAUAUGGUAGCAAAGAUAUAUUGAUUAUUUUGAAGUAGUAUAUAUAGGCCACAUAAAAAAUUGUGAAACAUUGAACUGAUUGCGGGCAGUUGAAGUGUACGAAAAUGGCGUUCUACGGGAAAAACUACAAGAAAACCAAGUUUGAAAAUAUUGAUGAGCUCUUGGAGGCACAUAACGCCCCCGACAAAGUCCGUGGCUUAAUCAAGAGCACCGACAGUAUCUCCCGUUUCGAGAAAAACGCCGACGGCUCCGUUCAGUACAUCGUCUCCAAAGAUGGCCAGGAACACUUCAACCAGAAGAUGACUCCAGGCGUAGAGGUCGACUUCACGACUCCCGAUGGCAUCAAGACUAAAGUCAGCUGUCAGAUCAACGAUGAUAGUGUGCAGACUGUUAUGACUUUCCCUGAUGGCGGUAAACUUCAUAUGGACAGGGUGUUUGAAGGCAAUACCAUGAAGCAUAUCAUUUAUAAAGAAGGUACCGACCUAAAAGGUACUAUCUUCUACGAGCAGGUUUGAAGAGUUUAAAGCAAAUUUAUUACAAAUAACAUCCCCCGCAGUUACAUAUUCCCAUGAGACGCGAGGCGAAUGACACGGCAAACAGCUAAAGAAAAUGUUUACACUCCAUCUAAGCUUACUUAAACCAACUGGAAAGGAACAAAGUGAGACAGUGCCAUUGUAAACGUUAUAUUUUCAUAGAACCAUGGGCAACUUUGUUUGGAGCCUGGUCCAAAAACCAACAGAAAUGAGAGUUAGGUCAUUACAUAGGUAUUUCUAUGUCUUUCAUUUCGUUCUAUGGGCACCAAGAUUUCCCUAGGUAAUAAGGGUGACAACAUUUUGACUAAAAUACCAAUAUCUCAGUUCUGCAAUGGAGUUCCGCUUGGUGCCCAAGAACGAAAUGAAGAACAUAGAAAUACAUUUCUAAUGACCUAACUCCAGCCUAACUCUCAUUUCUGUUGGUUUUUGGAUCAUUUUAACGCAUAGCCGAUGUUACAUUAAUUUAUAGUGGGCAGCAGAGUAGGUUACGUUUCAGUAACAAUAAAGUGCUUGAACUAAC
RNA transcript from Cydia pomonella (codling moth), 3540 nucleotides. RefSeq lists it as uncharacterized. NCBI's taxonomy places the organism in Eukaryota, Metazoa, Arthropoda, Insecta, Lepidoptera, Tortricidae. The transcript has 5 exons. The record is from RefSeq and is a predicted model, not a curated record.